This 347-nucleotide long non-coding RNA is filed under the name Panax ginseng (ginseng). RNAcentral's name for it is "long non-coding RNA (PGIN_LNC000252)". Lineage: Eukaryota; Viridiplantae; Streptophyta; Magnoliopsida; Apiales; Araliaceae. The record is from RNAcentral.
UCAUUUGUCUCAGAUUGCAGAUUUGACACAUCAGUUGGAGAGGAUGUAGCUGUAUGUUCGGCAUUUGGGCAGGGAUCCAUAAUUGGCUAGUACUUUUGCUUCCCAACGACAUGAGGCUGGACCUUCAGGCACUGGUGGCUUUGCAGAUGGAGGAGAUCCCUUUUAUCAUCACCUGGAUAUGCAUGACAUGCCCACUCAAAAUGAUCUGGCCAAAGUUGUUCAGUUUGGUGACUCCAACACUUUUUUGGAUAGUCUGGACAUCCACUUGUAGGCAUCUUUUUAGUCAUAUGGCGCUUGUGCCCCAUUAUUUUAUACUUUCUAUUUUUAUUUUUUAACAUGUAUCGUAG